CCGCUGAGCUAUCAAAAAAAAGUGACAGCGCAUAGCGCAAAGCGGAGUUGAGUGUGCAUGUUACACGGUUAAACAUGUUAAAAAGUUUUUCUGAAAUUUUAGUUUUAUGUUACAUUCAGUGCCCAAAUCAUUCUAUAAGAACUGAUAUAUUGAACUUAUCCCCGUCUUGAUCAAGUGACACACGUAGUAAAAUAUUUAGUGAAUAUAUAAUACAUCUUUUUUGAGUUUCCUUCUGCAAAUCUCAUUCAGAAGAAUCACCAUGCCGAAAGGAAAGAAAAAGGGAAAAUACGAACACAGAAGAACGGAGCAGCCAUACUCUUCAGACGAAGAUGCGGGCAUAGACAUGACCAUAGACAACUGUUCAGAAAUAUCUGGACAGUCUGACCUGAAGAGCAAUCAUGACGAUGCAGAAAACGAAAUCCAAGAGAAGCUUGAAGAGAAAGUAUUGGAGAUUAUAGACGCUCUGAACGCCCGUGCUAACGCCGCCCGCGCCGCUGCGUUCGUAGCGCUGCGAAGCGCUUUACAGCGGCGCUAUCUAGCGGGACUGCUGAGCAACCAUAGGGCUACGCUGGCAGACCAUCUCAGCAGGGCUUUGAGGCGAGGAAAGGACGGUGAGAAGCGAGCCGCUGCGGGGAUUGCACCUUUACUCGCUUUACAGAUUGGCGAGGAAGGGGCAGAGGAUUACAUGCAUGAGGUGCGUCCCGCUUUAGCCGCGGCCGCCGUAGACAAGACCGCCUCGCUGGAGACACGCACAGAGUGCUGCUCGUCCCUGGCUGUGCUAUGCUACCUGCUGGAGGAAGACCUGACGGAAAUCAUCGAGAUCAUGCGCAUGUACGAGACCAUCUUCAGUGGCAGCUAUUUGAAGGGCGACGGCAGCGUCAAAGUAUCGGGCGCUGUGAUAGAGGAAGGCAAUUGGCACGCGGCCGCCGUGGACGGCUGGGCGCUGCUGCUGACGCUGCUGCCCGCGCCGCACGCCCGCUCCGUGCUGCUCUCGCAGCCGCCCAGCUUCGCCCGCCUCGGGGAGCUGCUGGAGGCGGCCAGUCUCGAGGUCCGUAUGGCGGCCGGCGGAGCCCUGGCCAUGGCUCACGAGUGGACCUCCGCAGACGACGAGGAGCCUCCGUAUUUAGAGGCGGUGCUGCCUCGCCUCGAACAACUGGCGAGGGAUUCACAGAAAUUCCGCGCCAAGAGGGAUAGAAAGCUGCAGAGGGCUACUUUCAGGGAUAUACUGAAGUAUUUUGAGGAGGACGAGGUGCCAUCGGUUCGCAUCCGCGUCGGCGCCGAGAGCGUGAUCUGCGACACGUGGCGCGCGCACGCCGCGUACGGCGCGCUGGCGGCCGCGCUCGGCGGCGGCGGGCUGGCGGCCGCGGCGGGGCACUGCGGCGCGCUGCGGGCCGCGCUCGGGCUGCGCGAGCCGCCCGCGCGGCUGCAGCUGCCCGCCGCGCGCCUCAACAAGCUGCAGCGGGUGAGUGUGUCACUGUAGCGGCCGGCCACUGCGGCGCGCUGCGGGCCGCGCUCGGGCUGCGCGAGCCGCCCGCGCGGCUGCAGCUGCCCGCCGCGCGCCUCAACAAGCUGCAGCGGCACCUCCAGAACAACGCGGCGUGCAAGGCCCGCACGGUGGCGCGCGCCAAGAACCGCGACAAACGCUCCGCCGCGCUCGCAGUGUGAACGCGCCCGUACCGCCCCGUAGGAUACAACACUCACAUCGCGUAGGUUAUAAUGUAGGGCAUAGCCCGCCUUGGGUGAGCGACUAUCGAGUUUUGUUUGGCAUAUCAAAGUGUAUUCUAAAAAAAAGAGUAAUAUUUACUAUUUACCUAAUAUUUGCUUUGAAAUUUUUUUAUGAACUUAUUUCGUAUUUAUUGUUGGUAAAAUAAAUCAAAUAAGAGUUUUGAAAAAAACUACUCCUACUACCUUUGCAAAUUUUUUUGGUGAUAGGAUUUUAUUUAUAUUUUUCCCCAUAACGAUGACUUAACAAAUGUAUUUUAGUGUUUCUCGCUCGCCCAAGAAAACUAAUAUAAGCUUUGAGCCAACGCACAUUAAACCGUUCAAGCAAAAAUUUAAGUCUUUUCAGAUACAAUAUUCCUUGUUUCUUUGAAAAGAAAUUUACUCCAUAAAAGUUUUUUAGAUCUGAUUUUCUAACUUCAUUAAUGUGACAGCGGAGCAAAUGUCUAAACUUUGUAAAGAAACUUAACUACAUACUUAGAACCCUUAUUACCUUACAUUUUUGCAUCAAGUUACAGUAAGCAUCAGUUUAGAAUUGUUAUUUUUAAAUUAUCAAGUGUAAUGUGCGCUGGCUCGGUCCAGAAACUGCCGGUUCCAACGCUCAAAAAAUGAUCACUCGGCAUCGCAGCCCGAAAGUAGUUGACGCUAGCUAGUAGUGUAGCUGUAGGCUAGAGAACCAAAGAGAUUCGUCAUUGUUUUGAUAAAAAAUAAAAAGUUGGAACCGCCCGCUAUUAUCAUAUCACCCCUUUCACGCACCGACAGAUUUCGUUCAAUUAGUGUUAGACAUUUUAAUUUGAAAUUUUGUGAUUUGCAAUAUAAAAAUCAUAAUUACGUAUGUUUUCCGAUAUUUUUGUAUAAGUCCGUACUUACUCCUUAACUUGAUUUGGGCCCGACGUAUGUCGACGGUUCAUUUGUUAUGCGAUUACUGCCAUUUUAAAUGAUCUAUUGUUUUAGUAGUGAAAUAUUUUAAGAUAAUUAUUAUACCUAUGUUAUAUUAUUAUUGAUAUUUUUUAUAUCAAGUCGAGGGUUGUCGGUGUUUUUAUGUAUAAUGGUUAAUUGUACCCUAAUUUCUUUGUACACUUCGCCACCGAUCCAGCAUGAGACGGAAGGAGCCAGAUUCUUACAAAAUUAAGAGUUCGAAAACGAUUACGAUUGCGUGAGAAUAGGACCCCAGACUUAGUCCAAUAGAAAAUUAUUUUGGUUUCGCUUGAUGUGUGGCCGACUGUACCGUAAGAUUGAUUAUUUGCUUGCAUUCAAAUUAUCAAGUUGCGGAGUAAGGAGCUAUUUUAAUGGUUGAUAUAUUAUAAUAUAGUGACUUGUGCUGUGAAGAUAUUGAUGUACAUAAUAACAUCGCCACGGCAGUGCAAUUCAUAUUUUAAUAUAAUUGUAUAAAACUUCUCUGUAAAUAUUAUUUUAAUUGGUAUCCGUCGUUGCGGCCGCCUACACUUGUACAUUAUUUAGGCUACGGAAUGUUGAAAUAAUAUUUAUGAUGGGAA
RNA transcript from Amyelois transitella, 3215 nucleotides. It is a transcript of the gene named interferon-related developmental regulator 2, with no coding region annotated. Lineage: Eukaryota; Metazoa; Arthropoda; Insecta; Lepidoptera; Pyralidae. The transcript is spliced from 9 exons. The record is from RefSeq and is a predicted model, not a curated record.